AUUGAACGCUGGCGGCAGGCCUAACACAUGCAAGUCGAGCGGAUGAAGGGAGCUUGCUCCUGGAUUCAGCGGCGGACGGGUGAGUAAUGCCUAGGAAUCUGCCUGGUAGUGGGGGAUAACGUCCGGAAACGGGCGCUAAUACCGCAUACGUCCUGAGGGAGAAAGUGGGGGAUCUUCGGACCUCACGCUAUCAGAUGAGCCUAGGUCGGAUUAGCUAGUUGGUGGGGUAAAGGCCUACCAAGGCGACGAUCCGUAACUGGUCUGAGAGGAUGAUCAGGCACACUGGAAAUGAGACACGGUCCAGACUCCUACGGGAGGCAGCAGUGGGGAAUAUUGGACAAGGGGCGAAAGCCUGAUCCAGCCAUGCCGCGUGUGUGAAGAAGGUCUUCGGAUUGUAAAGCACUUUAAGUUGGGAGGAAGGGCAGUAAGUUAAUACCUUGCUGUUUUGACGUUACCAACAGAAUAAGCAACGGCUAACUUCGUG
Molecule: ribosomal RNA, 484 nt
Filed under: uncultured bacterium
Lineage: Bacteria
Description: partial 16S ribosomal RNA
Rfam family: Bacterial small subunit ribosomal RNA
Source: RNAcentral